This 73-nucleotide transfer RNA is filed under the name Hamadaea sp. Its description in RNAcentral is "tRNA-Trp". It matches the Rfam family "tRNA". From Rfam's summary of the family: Transfer RNA (tRNA) molecules are approximately 80 nucleotides in length. Their secondary structure includes four short double-helical elements and three loops (D, anti-codon, and T loops). The record is from RNAcentral. Lineage: Bacteria; Bacillati; Actinomycetota; Actinomycetes; Micromonosporales; Micromonosporaceae.
GCGGGUGUAGCUCAACGGGCAGAGCACCGGACUCCAAAUCCGGCGGUUAUGGGUUCGAUUCCUGUCACCCGUG